UCAGGUUGAUAUUCCUGUACCACCUCCUCACCAUUUGAGCAAUGGGGGACGCAGGAGGAUAGGGUAAGCGCGGUAUUGGAUAUCCGCGUCCAAGCAGUUAGGCUGGGAAAUAGGCAAAUCCGUUUCCCAUAAGGCUGAGCUGUGAUGGCGAGCGAAACAUAGUAGCGAAGUUCCUGAUUCCACACUGCCAAGAAAAAGCCUCAGCGAGGUGAGAGGUGCCCGUACCGCAAACCGUCACAGGUAGGCGAGGAGAGAAUCCUAAGGUGAUCGAGAGAACUCUCGUUAAGGAACUCGGCAAAUGACCCCGUAACUUCGGGAGAAGGGUGCUCUGUUAGGGUGCAAGCCCGAGAGAGCCGCAGGAAUAGGCCCAGGCGACUGUUUAGCAAAAACACAGGUCUCUGCGAAGCCGUAAGGCGAAGUAGGGGCUGACGCCUGCCCGGUGCUGGAAGGUUAAGAGGAGCGCUUAGCGUAAGCGAAGGUGCGAAUUGAAGCCCCAGUAAACGGCGGCCGUAACAAUAACGGUCCUAAGGUAGCGAAAUUCCUUGUCGGGUAAGUUCCGACCCGCACGAAAGCGCAACGAUCUGGGCACUGUCUCAACGAGACUCGGUGAAAUUAUAGUACCUGUGAAGAUGCAGGUUACCCGCGACAGGACGGAAAGACCCGUGGAGCUUUACUGCAGCCUGAUAUUGAAUGUUGGUACAGCUUGUACAGGAUAGGUAGGAGCCUUGGAAACCGGAGCGCCAGCUUCGGUGGAGGCAUCGGUGGGAUACUACCCUGGCUGUAUUGACCUUCUAACCCGCCGCCCUUAUCGGGCGGGAGACAGUGUCAGGUGGGCAGUUUGACUGGGGCGGUCGCCUCCUGAAAAGGUAACGGAGGCGCCCAAAGGUUCCCUCAGAAUGGUUGGAAAUCAUUCGCAGAGUGUAAAGAGCACAAGGGAGCUUGACUGCGAGACCUACAAGUCGAGCAGGGACGAAAGUCGGGCUUAGUGAUCCGGUGGUUCCGCAUGGAAGGGCCAUCGCUCAACGGAUAAAAGCUACCCGGGGAUAACAGGCUUAUCUCCCCCAGAGUCCACAUCGACGGGGAGGUUUGGCACCUCGAUGUCGGCUCAUCGCAUCCUGGGGCUGUAGUCGGUCCCAAGGGUUGGGCUGUUCGCCCAUUAAAGCGGUACGCGAGCUGGAGUUCAGAACGUCGUGAGACAGUUCGGUCCCUAUCCGUCGCGGGCGCAGGAAAUUUGAGAGGAGCUGUCCUUGUACGAGAGGACCGGGAUGGACGCACCGCUGGUGUACCAGUUGUUCUGCCAAGGGCAUCGCUGGGUAGCUAUGUGCGGACGGGAUAAGUGCUGAAAGCAUCUAAGCAUGAAGCCCCCUCAAGAUGAGAUCUCCCAUUCCGCAAGGAAGUAAGAUCCCUGAAAGAUGAUCAGGUUGAUAGGUCUGAGGUGGAAGUGUGGCAACACAUGGAGCUGACAGAUACUAAUCGAUCGAGGACUU
Molecule: ribosomal RNA, 1487 nt
Filed under: metagenome
Description: bacterial LSU rRNA
Rfam family: Bacterial large subunit ribosomal RNA
Source: RNAcentral